RNAcentral lists this ribosomal RNA (882 nucleotides) under Steinernema litorale. RNAcentral's name for it is "eukaryotic LSU rRNA". It matches the Rfam family "Eukaryotic large subunit ribosomal RNA", at positions 81 to 986 of the family's 3401-position model. The record is from RNAcentral. Lineage: Eukaryota; Metazoa; Nematoda; Chromadorea; Rhabditida; Steinernematidae.
AGGUCUUUCCUAGACAACCUGAUGAGCUUACAUCGAGUGCGGUGGAAUGACAGUCUAGAGGUUGGAGGUGGAGGGGUGAAGAAGUUUGAUGGAUGUGACUGUUUCCUCAGGAUAGGUGAAAGAACGUAUUGCUGGUUUUUCGUACGCGUUUAUCUCUUGGAGUAGGGUUGUUUGAGAUCGCAGCCCUAAGUAGGUGGUAUACUUCAUCUAAAGCUAAAUACGACUACGAAUCCGAUAGCAAACAAGUACCGUGAGGGAAAGUUGCAAAGUACUUUGAAGAGAGAGUUCAACAGGACGUGAAACCGAUAGGAUGGAAGCAGAUGAAGUUGACGAACGUGUGUCGUAUUCAAAAUCGCUGUCAGCGGUUUGUUUUUACGGCCGAUGUGGGCCGGCGGCUUUGGUCAAUGCAUUGCGUCUAGCGUCGAUGGUGACCCUGCGGAGGGACAAUCAGUCGGCGUACGGUGCUUGGUAUGGCUAAGGUUUCGCCGGUCUUAAAGUCAGCGCCUCAUCUGACCCGUCUUGAAACACGGACCAAGGAGUGUAGCGUUUGCGCAAGUCUUAGAGUGUAUCGAAACUUUGAGGCGUAACGAAAGUAAAUGCAGUUUAAUCUGCUGACUUGGGAUGCGUUGUCUCUUGUGGACGGCGCUGGACCAAGGUUUUAUCGCGAUCGCUUGCGGUGCGGUGAAAAUAGAGCGUAAACGGUGCGACCCGAAAGAUGGUGAACUAUGCCUGAGCAGGAUGAAGCCGGAGGAAACUCUGGUGGAAGUCCGAAGCGGUUCUGACGUGCAAAUCGAUCGUCUGACUUGGGUAUAGGGGCGAAAAGACUAAAUCGAACCAUCUAGUAGCUGGUUUCCUCUGAAGUUUUCCUCCGGUUUAGCUGAA